GACGCUGGCGGCGUGCCUAAUACAUGCAAGUAGAACGCUGAAGAGAGGAGCUUGCUCUUCUUGGAUGAGUUGCGAACGGGUGAGUAACGCGUAGGUAACCUGCCUUGUAGCGGGGGAUAACUAUUGGAAACGAUAGCUAAUACCGCAUAACAAUGGAUGACACAUGUCAUUUAUUUGAAAGGGGCAAUUGCUCCACUACAAGAUGGACCUGCGUUGUAUUAGCUAGUAGGUGAGGUAAUGGCUCACCUAGGCGACGAUACAUAGCCGACCUGAGAGGGUGAUCGGCCACACUGGGACUGAGACACGGCCCAGACUCCUACGGGAGGCAGCAGUAGGGAAUCUUCGGCAAUGGGGGCAACCCUGACCGAGCAACGCCGCGUGAGUGAAGAGGGUUUUCGGAUCGUAAAGCUCUGUUGUAAGUCAAGAACGGGUGUGAGAGUGGAAAGUUCACACUGUGACGGUAGCUUACCAGAAAGGGACGGCUAACUACGUG
RNAcentral lists this ribosomal RNA (493 nucleotides) under uncultured Streptococcus sp. RNAcentral's name for it is "bacterial SSU rRNA". It matches the Rfam family "Bacterial small subunit ribosomal RNA", at positions 33 to 507 of the family's 1533-position model. Lineage: Bacteria; Bacillati; Bacillota; Bacilli; Lactobacillales; Streptococcaceae. The record is from RNAcentral.